GUUAUACUCCCUCCGUCCCAAAAUUCUUGUCUUAAGUUUGUUUAAAAAUAAAUGUAUUUAAAUACUAAAAUGUGACUAGAUACAUUCAUUUCUACACAAAUCUAAGACGAGAAUUUUAAGACGGAGCGAGUAUAAA
This is a non-coding RNA of Hordeum vulgare subsp. vulgare (domesticated barley), 136 nucleotides long. The record is from Rfam. NCBI's taxonomy places the organism in Eukaryota, Viridiplantae, Streptophyta, Magnoliopsida, Poales, Poaceae.